Chinchilla lanigera (long-tailed chinchilla) is the source of this 703-nucleotide long non-coding RNA. RefSeq lists it as uncharacterized. The record is from RefSeq and is a predicted model, not a curated record. The transcript has 3 exons. Lineage: Eukaryota; Metazoa; Chordata; Mammalia; Rodentia; Chinchillidae.
UCCAGAAGAAUUAUCACUACCUUUACAGACAAACCACAGAGUUGAGAUCAUUCAUCCAAAACUUAUUUUAGAAAUACUUUAAGACUCUGUUUUGCAAAUUAUACAAGAGGGAUCAUGGGAAGUUAAUACCCUUGAGUCUGAGGGGGGACAAAAUCUCACGUCUGAGCCAUUGUAAAUAAGUAGAGAUAUAUUUUUCAAUCUGUACCCCUAGGAAAGAAUCAGGCAAAUAUUUGUUUUCUCUCUGAGUUCAUGGGUCUGAAAGCUGGUAUUUUUUGCUUGAGUGCUGAUGGCUGUUUCAAAACAAAACCAGAACAUUCCUAGCCUCCCAGCAGCUCUGGUAGCCACAGACAGCUGGACAUUCUGCAACUGCUGUGAAGGAAGUUACAGACUGUCUCCCAGCACUUCCUACUCACUCACGAGGGAUGAUUAUGUUCCACUGGGAUAAAGUAUUAUUAUUCAUAACAAGGAGCUACACAAAGAAAGUGCCAUGAAAAUAUGCAGAAACAAUCUUCUAUCCUGGCCCUUAUCCCUGAAAACACUGGGAAAAGCCAAUCCAGGGCUGACCAUUGACCAAGAGAAGCAUGUAUGAAAGUAGAAGAGCACUUCUGAUGCUGAAGGAAGCUGAUUUGCAAGUUCAAAAACUGACCCAUCUAGUCUGAUGGAAUAGACUCUUAGCCUGGUCUCCCUGGGUGCAGGCUCACCU